This 1525-nucleotide ribosomal RNA is filed under the name metagenome. RNAcentral describes it as "bacterial SSU rRNA". It matches the Rfam family "Bacterial small subunit ribosomal RNA". The record is from RNAcentral.
AGAGCAUGAUACUGGCUCAGAACGAACGCUGGCAGCGUGCCUUAUACAUGCAAGUCGAGCGAGAAACUCCCUUCGGGGAGGAGUACAGCGGCAGAUCGGUGAGUAAUGCAUGGAUAACCUGCCUUUCGGAGCGGAAUAACAGUGCGAAAGCGCUGCUAAUGCCGCAUGUUGAUCUCCGGGCACUUGCUUAAUCGUAAGUGGAGUAGCCUGGGGGUUGAAAGGGUUGCUGCCUUUGGGCAGCUUCCGCCGGGAGAGGGGUUCAUGUCCUAUUAGCUAGUUGGUGAAGUAAUGGCUCACCAAGGCGAUGAUGGGUAGCCGGCGUGAGAGCGUGACCGGCCACACUGGAACUGAGACACUGUCCAGAGCCCCACGGGGCGCAGCAGUAGGGAAUCAUCCACAAUGGGCGCAAGCCUGAUGGUGCGACGCUGCGUGGAGGAAGAAGGCCCAAUGGGUUGUAAACUCCUUUCGGGAGUUAAGAACAUCCCUUUCGAGGGACUGACGAAGGCUCCUAAAGAAGCCAUGGCUAACUCCGUGCCAGCAGCCGCGGUAAGUCGGAGAUGGCAAGCGUUGUUCGGAUUCACUGGGCGUAAAGCGCAUGUAGGCGGCCCGGUAAGUUAGAGGUGAAAGCCCGCGGCUCAACCGUGGAAUUGCCUCUGAUACUGCCGGGCUAGAGGGCGAUAGGGGAGAGUGGAACUCUUGGUGGAGCGGUGGAAUGCGUAGAUAUCAAGAGGAACGCCGGCGGCGAAAGCGACUCUCUGGAUCGUUCCUGACGCUGAGAUGCGAAAGCCAGGGUAGCGAACGGGAUUAGAUACCCCGGUAGUCCUGGCCGUAAACGAUGGGUACUUGGCAGUAGGGGUUAACCCUUUGCUGCCGGAGCUAACGCGUUAAGUACCCCGCCUGGGUAGUACGGCCGCAAGGCUAAAACUCAAAGUAAUUGACGGGGGCUCGCACAAGCGGUGGAGCAUGUGCCUUAAUUCGAUUCAACGCGAGGAACCUUACCAGGACUUGACAUGCUGGUGGUACAAUCCCGAAAGGGGGAGGACCCGCAAGGGAGCCAGCACAGGUGUUGCAUGGCUGUCGUCCGUUCGUAUCGUGAGAUGUUGGGUUAAGUCCCGCAACGAGCGAAACCCUUGUCCUUAGUUGCUAACGCGUCAUGGCGAGGACUCUAAGGAGACUGCCGGUGUCAAACCGGAGGAAGGUGGGGAUGACGUCAAGUCAUCAUGGCCCUUAUGUUCUGGGCGGGACACAUGCUACAAUGGUCGGUACAAUGGGAAGCGAAGCCGCAAGGCGGAGCGAAGCCCUGAAAACCGGCCCCAGUUCGGAUCGGGGGCUGCAACCCGCCCCCGUGAAGUCGGAAUCGCUAGUAAUCGCGGAUCAGCCACGCCGCGGUGAAUAUGUGCCCGAGCCUUGUACACACCGCCCGUCAAGCCAUGGAAGCUGGGAGCACGCGAAGUCGUGGAUCCAACCCUCGGGAGGGUCGCGCCCACCGUGAGCCCAGUAACUGGGGCUAAGUCGUAACAAGGUA